This 308-nucleotide long non-coding RNA is filed under the name Linum usitatissimum (flax). RNAcentral's name for it is "long non-coding RNA (LUSI_LNC000973)". The record is from RNAcentral. Lineage: Eukaryota; Viridiplantae; Streptophyta; Magnoliopsida; Malpighiales; Linaceae.
GAAGAAGAAGAAACGACGGACCUCCGCCGAUUGUAACCACUGCUGCCGCUGCCGAUGUAAAUGGAUCCAGAGCGUUUUUUUCUGUCACGGUUGUUCCUGCCGCCGACGGUCCAGGAGAUGCAAGGCGGCGCCGGUGUGUUGUUUCGUCCGGCCUGAUUGGGGAAAGCUGACCCGGUUCUUCUGCUGCACCUCCUCCAAGAAGAGGAAGCCGAAAAUCGGCGAAGAUAAAGAGACGGAUUUCGGAAGCUCGUUAGGGCGGCGGCGUGAGGAGGAGGAAGAAGAAGACGGUUUCUACGGCGGCGGCGACG